CAGGAAAUAGUUUAAAUAAAAUAUUAAUUUUGGAGAUUAAAGAUGAGGGUUUCUUUUUCCUGA
This 63-nucleotide transfer RNA is filed under the name Laparocerus freyi. RNAcentral's name for it is "tRNA-Pro". The record is from RNAcentral. Lineage: Eukaryota; Metazoa; Arthropoda; Insecta; Coleoptera; Curculionidae.